AGGCUAUUGUAAUUCAUUUGUUAAAUGUGCAACUCUCAGUCUAUAUUACACAGCAAUUUUUGACAGCAGAGCUAAGAUCUGGCAUCUCCUAUCCAAUGAAAGAGUAGAGGAUGAGGUCAUCGGUUCAAUCCCAUCUACAGGUCACAAUCACUGGCUGUACAAAGAGCGUUGACUGGCUGAAUUCAUAGACAGCCUCUUGUGUGACAAUUUCUGAUAUCUUGGGCCAUGGGAAAAAAACUUCUGGUUAUAGGGACAACGAGUGAAGUCGGCUUCUUAGAUUCAAUUGAUAUUUUGUGAUGCUUUCUGUCACUUACCAUGUUCCUACAUUGAAGACAGAUGAUGCAAAGAAGAUGCUAGAACAGCUGAAUGUUUUUGCUUAUGAAAGACAUCAAUGCAGCUGCAGAGGCCCUGAAUGAUAUGCCAAUCAAGAAGCUUUAUAUGCUGAUUGAGAUGGCAGCCUAGGGUGAGCGUGGUGGAGCUUCAGAGGCAAUGUUGGACCACAAAGGGUGCAAACCCAAGUGUAGGUUUUCGCAAAUAAUAAUUCUCGAUA
Molecule: long non-coding RNA, 550 nt
Organism: Alnus glutinosa
Lineage: Eukaryota; Viridiplantae; Streptophyta; Magnoliopsida; Fagales; Betulaceae
Exons: 5
Source: RefSeq, a predicted model, not a curated record